RNAcentral lists this ribosomal RNA (253 nucleotides) under uncultured bacterium. RNAcentral's name for it is "partial 16S ribosomal RNA". It matches the Rfam family "Bacterial small subunit ribosomal RNA", at positions 524 to 776 of the family's 1533-position model. The record is from RNAcentral.
GACGGAGGGUGCAAGCGUUGUUCGGAUUGACUGGGCGUAGAGGGCGUGUAGGCGGUUUGUCAAGUCGGAUGUGAAGGCCUGGGGCUCAGCCUCAGAAGUGCAUCCGAAACUAGCGAGCUAGAGCGCGAUAGAGGAGGGUGGAAUUCCUGGUGUAGCGGUGAAAUGCGUAGAGAUCAGGAGGAACACCGGCGGCGAAGGCGGCCCUCUGGAUCGUUGCCGACGCUGAGACGCGAAAGCGUGGGGAGCAAACAGG